ACAUUUGCACAGUGGCAUUGUCGUGACCAGUGAGGUAAGACUGAGGUGUGGUUAUUGCUUGUUGAGGGCUUUUACCAAUACCCCACCAAAGAGACGUGAAAUACUGUCUCUUGGGCAAUUUUUGGCAGCUCCUGCAUGGC
This 140-nucleotide small nuclear RNA is filed under the name Schistocerca americana (American grasshopper). RNAcentral describes it as "U4 spliceosomal RNA". It matches the Rfam family "U4 spliceosomal RNA". From Rfam's summary of the family: U4 small nuclear RNA (U4 snRNA) is a component of the major U2-dependent spliceosome. The structure of U4 snRNA from yeast and human has been reported. The record is from RNAcentral. Lineage: Eukaryota; Metazoa; Arthropoda; Insecta; Orthoptera; Acrididae.